CCGGCGACCGGCGCACGGGUGAGUAACACGUAUGCAACCUGCCCUCCGCAGGGGGAGUAACCCGGAGAAAUCCGGACUAAUACCGCGUGGUACAUCUGUGGGGCAUCCCACGGGUGUUAAAAGGAAGCGAUUCCGGCGGAGGAUGGGCAUGCGGCGCAUUAGCUAGUUGGCGGGGUAACGGCCCACCAAGGCGACGAUGCGUAGGGGUUCUGAGAGGAAGGUCCCCCACACUGGUACUGAGACACGGACCAGACUCCUACGGGAGGCAGCAG
This 272-nucleotide ribosomal RNA is filed under the name uncultured bacterium. RNAcentral describes it as "partial 16S ribosomal RNA". It matches the Rfam family "Bacterial small subunit ribosomal RNA", at positions 88 to 354 of the family's 1533-position model. The record is from RNAcentral.